This 253-nucleotide ribosomal RNA is filed under the name uncultured bacterium. RNAcentral describes it as "partial 16S ribosomal RNA". It matches the Rfam family "Bacterial small subunit ribosomal RNA", at positions 524 to 776 of the family's 1533-position model. The record is from RNAcentral.
UACGGGGGGGGCAAGCGUUGUUCGGAAUUACUGGGCGUAAAGGGCUCGUAGGUGGCCAACUAAGUCAGACGUGAAAUCCCCAGGCUCAACUUGGGAACUGCGUCUGAUACUGGAUGGCUUGAAUUCGGGAGAGGGAUGCAGAAUUCCAGGUGUAGCGGUGAAAUGCGUAGAUAUCAGGAGGAACACCCGUAGCGAAGGCGGCACUCUGGGCCGAUUCUGACACUGAGGAGCGAAAGCGUGGGGAGCGAACAGG